Molecule: long non-coding RNA, 505 nt
Filed under: Capra hircus (goat)
Lineage: Eukaryota; Metazoa; Chordata; Mammalia; Artiodactyla; Bovidae
Description: lncRNA (ENSCHIG00010004431.1)
Source: RNAcentral
CUCUCUCUUUUUAAAUUUCUUUCCUUAUUUUCCCCUUCCUCAUCCUUUUUUGUUUGUUUCCCUUAAUCGGUAGGAAGAAAAAAAAAGGGACCUGGAUACAUCAGAUUCUCUGCCCCCUUCCCCCUAUUCUCUCUGAUUUCUGCGGUUCAGACUGUGUUGUAUCCCUUCGGGAAAGUAGUCUUUGGAAUUGGGUUCUGGUUUCGGUUUAGGUUGGAGGUGGGGCGGUGAGAGUCAGAGAGAGAAUGGGGCUUCUCAGAGGUUUUGUCCCACCGACCACGGUCUAAAGACUGGAUCCCCUUUGGACCGCCCAGGACCACACCGCGGCCUAACUGGCCUAACUGCCGGGCUCUCGGUGAGAGACGGGGAGAGCAAAGACCCCGGUCCACAACCUGGACCUCGACUCCCACCUCUCUCUGGCCGGAGGAGUGGAGAUCCUAUUCAGAGGGGCCCGUCUCUCUAAAUAUGCCCCAGGAUGACGGAGCAGCCGCCGAGCGAGGCGGCACAC